CAGAUGUCACCUCUUACAAACAGACGCACUGUGUUUCUCUCUGCAGCUAUUACAGGGACUACAUGGAUAGAGAGAGAGAAAUGUGUCACCGAAUGUUUGCUUCUCAUGAAAAUGGCUCCACAGUGGGAGAGCACUGAAGAUUCCUCAUUUGACUGCACCAAGAGAGCUACAUGGGCAGUGGAGCUGAGUCACAGCUGGAAGAGCUCCCGGCAUGUGGCAGCCCCCCCUCGCCAGGCCUGACCGGGACAGACCUGUGGAAUCCAAGUGCUGUUUCUGUUUCUUUGUGUUUCACAGGCAGCAGGGGGAAAGAUAGCUACUGACAAGUAGAAAACUGCUACUUUUUAAAGGCAGUUUCUUGUGUUUUGGGGAGGAAUUAGUCCUUGGCAUUUGUCCCAGCCCCAGCCCCCCUUCUGGCUGCUCACCUCCCCUGGUAAAUACAAAUAGAGAUUGUUUUGUGGUUCUCCUGGCUUCUCCGUUUUGAAGACAGAAUUAUGUUACAAAUGUUUUUGCCGUAAAUAAACAUUCCCUUGUCCUGCAAGACCCAGCAGGGUGGACUGUUUGAAUUCUGCAGGUGAAGCACAGCUGUGGCAGAACCAGCAGGGAAGGGGAGCUCCCACCCCUUCACCUAAUAACACUGUGUCGAUGUCCGCUCCCGGCCGGCAGGAAGGACACACGACAAAGUCUGGUAGUGGACAACCUUUUCUUUUUAUUUUCCUUCUCCGUACAGCCUGCCCUGGGAUCGCUCCCAGCCGAAGCCUCCUUUGGUCCGCUCCCCGCGGCUCCUUCUGGGCUUCUACUUCCGGGCUUCUUCUUCCCCCCCAGGGGUGGCACCAGUAUAUAUACGGAUACAGUGUCCAAUCAUGUUAAAGUGAGCAAGGCAAGCUGAUUGGCUAACAUCAUCAGUUGCCAGGCAGACUAUAUUGUUGAGCGGGUUGUUUACGCGGUAAGCAGGAAACUAACAUAUUCGAUGGGAGGGGUAAUCUACCUCAGGCUUUGCUCUUUACCACAGGCCGCACGUCCGCCGCGCAAGGCGAGCUAUCACAGACGCGGCUCCCAACAACACUGUGCCUGAGGGUGCCCUGAAUCCCACUCCCUCCUGUGGGAGCUGUUAAAAGGCAAGUUAGUGGGACACUUUGAAGCCCGUUAA
Molecule: long non-coding RNA, 1147 nt
Filed under: Cavia porcellus (domestic guinea pig)
Lineage: Eukaryota; Metazoa; Chordata; Mammalia; Rodentia; Caviidae
Description: lncRNA (ENSCPOG00000033816.1)
Source: RNAcentral